This 447-nucleotide ribosomal RNA is filed under the name uncultured bacterium. RNAcentral describes it as "bacterial SSU rRNA". It matches the Rfam family "Bacterial small subunit ribosomal RNA", at positions 329 to 793 of the family's 1533-position model. The record is from RNAcentral.
UUCCAGACUCCUACGGGAGGCAGCAGUGGGGAAUAUUGCACAAUGGGGGGAACCCUGAUGCAGCGACGCCGCGUGGGUGAAGGAGCACCUCGGUGCGUAAAGCCCUAUCGGCAGGGAAGAAACAGACGGUACCUGACUAAGAAGCCCCGGCUAACUACGUGCCAGCAGCCGCGGUAAUACGUAGGGGGCAAGCGUUAUCCGGAUUUACUGGGUGUAAAGGGAGCGUAGACGGUAUGGCAAGUCUGAAGUGAAAGCCCAGGGCUUAACCCUGGGACUGCUUUGGAAACUGUUAGACUAGAGUGCUGGAGAGGUAAGUGGAAUUCCUAGUGUAGCGGUGAAAUGCGUAGAUAUUAGGAGGAACACCAGUGGCGAAGGCGGCUUACUGGACAGUAACUGACGUUGAGGCUCGAAAGCGUGGGGAGCAAACAGGAUUAGAUACCCUCGUAC